GUUCAUAUCAGUCCCUGCCUAAUCGGAGGUCUGGGACGCUCCUUUAUUGACUUCGUCAUCGCCGGGUGCCGCGAUGCCGCCGGAAUCUCCGGCUUCAUCCUCGUCAGGGUCGCGGGUGGGAUCGGACCCGGUGAUGGCGGCGCGGACGCGGUCGAGGAAGGGCUUGAAGGCCGUCUCCAUCGUCACCCACGCGAGCCCGAGGCCCGCCAGCACCACCACCGCCGUCUUCAGAGUGCCGCCCUCUCGCUGUUUGCUGCCGCCAGCCAUCGUUCUUGCUCUCCCUCGCGGAUGGUGGCA
RNAcentral lists this unclassified non-coding RNA (297 nucleotides) under Hevea brasiliensis (rubber tree). The record is from RNAcentral. Lineage: Eukaryota; Viridiplantae; Streptophyta; Magnoliopsida; Malpighiales; Euphorbiaceae.